RNAcentral lists this long non-coding RNA (676 nucleotides) under Gallus gallus (chicken). Its description in RNAcentral is "lncRNA (ENSGALG00010028670.1)". Lineage: Eukaryota; Metazoa; Chordata; Aves; Galliformes; Phasianidae. The record is from RNAcentral.
CUGCACAAACGCUCUGCGGUCACACCCCGUCUCUCCUCGAAGCUUUUCUGCUGAUCCGUACGUUCGGUGCUAAAUUUAAUGUGCUAAACCCCUGCCGUGCGUGCAGGAAUUGUGUCAGCAGAAGAGGCCCCUCCUCCCCGGCGGUGCUGCCCUCAGCGUGUCUCCGUGCUCUCGGACAUUAACAAAUACCAGAUGGUAAACAGCUCAGCGCUGCCUUUAUCUGUAGGCCCACAGAGGUGAUACAGUGCAGGGAAUGCUUCAGCGGCUCUGAAACGAGGCCAGCAUCGGGCUGGAGGGCAGCAGCUGCUUUCUGCUGCGUGUUGUCACUGUGUGUGCUGCAGUCCUCUGCUUCUGACCAGAAAGGAGGGCAGCAGAGGUUUGGCUGAGUCAGAGGAGGUUCAUGGAGCGCUGUCUGCUGCCCAUCCUCAUGUGCGUGGCAGUGUCCUCCAGGUGUCGGCCCGGCUGCUGGGGGAGGACCCGGCCAUUGAGUCUCCCACACUGCAGUUUACCACAGGCUUCUCUCAUGAUAGUGCCUGGCCAUAUGUGAUUUACUUUGAUCUUGGCACAGAGUCCAAAGUGCUGGAAAGCAAUCACCCAAAUUCUGGUAAGUGCUGUGCUUCCCCUUCCCAAGAGGGUCGGGUUCCCAGCAGCACAAGGGCAGGAUCAAUUGGAAAAC